Molecule: ribosomal RNA, 253 nt
Filed under: uncultured bacterium
Lineage: Bacteria
Description: partial 16S ribosomal RNA
Rfam family: Bacterial small subunit ribosomal RNA
Source: RNAcentral
UACGUAGGGUGCGAGCGUUAAUCGGAAUUACUGGGCGUAAAGCGUGCGCAGGCGGUUCGCCAAGUCAGGUGUGAAAUCCCCGGGCUUAACCUGGGAAUUGCGCUUGAAACUAGCGGGCUUGAGUGUGGCAGAGGGGGGUGGAAUUCCACGUGUAGCAGUGAAAUGCGUAGAGAUGUGGAGGAACACCGAUGGCGAAGGCAGCCACCUGGGUCAACACUGACGCUCAUGCACGAAAGCGUGGGGAGCAAACAGG